Molecule: ribosomal RNA, 434 nt
Filed under: uncultured bacterium
Lineage: Bacteria
Description: partial 16S ribosomal RNA
Rfam family: Bacterial small subunit ribosomal RNA
Source: RNAcentral
AGCGAACGCUGGCGGCAGGCCUAACACAUGCAAGUCGAACGAACCUUUCGGGGUUAGUGGCGGACGGGUGAGUAACACGUGGGAACGUGCCUUUAGGUUCGGAAUAACUCAGGGAAACUUGUGCUAAUACCGAAUGUGCCCUUCGGGGGAAAGAUUAAUCGCCUUUAGAGCGGCCCGCGUCUGAUUAGCUAGUUGGUUGAGGUAAUGGCUCACCAAGGCGACGAUCAGUAGCUGGUCUGAGAGGAUGAUCAGCCACAUUGGGACUGAGACACGGCCCAAACUCCUACGGGAGGCAGCAGUGGGGAAUCUUGCGCAAUGGGCGAAAGCCUGACGCGGCCAUGCCGCGUGAAUGAUGAAGGUCUUAGGAUUGUAAAAUUCUUUCACCGGGGACGAUAAUGACGGUACCCGGAGAAGAAGCCCCGGCUAACUUCGUG